This 32-nucleotide ribosomal RNA is filed under the name Tardiomyces blankii. RNAcentral's name for it is "[Candida] blankii partial 18S ribosomal RNA". The record is from RNAcentral. Lineage: Eukaryota; Fungi; Ascomycota; Dipodascomycetes; Dipodascales; Trichomonascaceae.
GGAUCAUUAGUGAACCUGCGGAAGGAUCAUUA